RNAcentral lists this ribosomal RNA (477 nucleotides) under Candidatus Scalindua wagneri. RNAcentral's name for it is "bacterial SSU rRNA". It matches the Rfam family "Bacterial small subunit ribosomal RNA", at positions 365 to 832 of the family's 1533-position model. Lineage: Bacteria; Pseudomonadati; Planctomycetota; Candidatus Brocadiia; Candidatus Brocadiales; Candidatus Scalinduaceae. The record is from RNAcentral.
UUCGCAAUGCCCGAAAGGGUGACGAUGCGACGCCGCGUGAGCGAAGAAGGCCCUAGGGUUGUAAAGCUCUGUCGAGGGUUAUGAAAUAUAGAUGGGUUAAUGCCCCAUUUAUUUGACAAAAGCCCAAAAGGAAGCCACGGCUAGCUCUGUGCCAGCAGCCGCGGUAAUACAGAGGUGGCGAGCGUUGUUCGGUAUUAUUGGGCGUAAAGAGCACGUAGGUGGUUUUGUAAGUCAGGUGUGAAAGCCUUCUGUUCAAAGGAAGAACGGCAUCUGAAACUGCAGAUCUUGAGUGUAGGAGGGGAGAGUGGAACUUCUGGUGGAGCGGUGAAAUGCGUAGAUAUCAGAAGGAACGUCGGCGGCGAAAGCGACUCUCUGGCCUAUUACUGACACUGAGUGUGCGAAAGUUAGGGGAGCAAACGGGAUUAGAUACCCCGGUAGUCCUAACCGUAAACGAUGGGCACUAAGUAGAGGGGUUUU